AACGAACGCUGGCGGCAUGCCUAACACAUGCAAGUCGAACGAGACCUUCGGGUCUAGUGGCGCACGGGUGCGUAACGCGUGGGAACCUGCCCUUAGGUUCGGAAUAACUCCCCGAAAGGGGUGCUAAUACCGGAUAAUGUCUUCGGACCAAAGAUUUAUCGCCUUUGGAUGGGCCCGAGUUGGAUUGGCUAGUUGGUAGGGUACACGCCUACCAAGGCGACGAUCCAUAACUGGUCUGAGAGGAUGAUCAGCCACACUGGGACUGAGACACGGCCCAGACUCCUACGGGAGGCAGCAGUGGGGAAUAUUGGACAAUGGGCGAAAGUCUGAUCCAGCAAUGCCGCGUGAGUGAUGAAGGCCUUAGGGUUGUAAAGCUCUUUUACCCGGGAUGAUAAUGACAGUACCGGGAGAAUAAGCUCCGGCUAACUCCGUG
Molecule: ribosomal RNA, 433 nt
Filed under: uncultured bacterium
Lineage: Bacteria
Description: partial 16S ribosomal RNA
Rfam family: Bacterial small subunit ribosomal RNA
Source: RNAcentral